GGUUAAAGUUUAGAAAGGCGCACGGUGGAUGCCUUGGCACUAGGAGCCGAUGAAGGACGGACGAAACACCGAAUAUGCUUCGGGGAGCUGUAAGCAAGCUUUGAUCCGGAGAUUUCCGAAUGGGGAAACCCACUGCUCGUAAUGGAGUAGUAUCCAUACUUGAAUACAUAGAGUAUGAGAAGGCAUACCCGGGGAACUGAAACAUCUAAGUACCCGGAGGAAGAGAAAGCAAAUGCGAUUCCCUGAGUAGCGGCGAGCGAAACGGGAACAGCCCAAACCAAGAGGCUUGCCUCUUGGGGUUGUAGGACACUCUAUACGGAGUUACAAAGGAACGAUAUAAGCGAAGAGGUCUGGAAAGGCCCGCCAAAGAAAGGUAAACCAGCCCUGUAACUGAAAUGUUGUUCCUCUCCAGAGUGGAUCCUGAGUACGGCGGAAACACGUGAAAUUCCGUCGGAAUCCGGGAGGGACCAUCUCCCCAAGGCUAAAUACUUCCCUAGUGACCGAUAGUGAACCAGUACCGUGAAGGGAAAAAGGUGAAAAGCACCCCGGAAGGUGAGUCAGAGCCCGUUAAUGGGUGAUGGCGUGCCUUUGUAGAAUGAACCGGCGAGUACGAUCCCGUGCAGAAGUUAAGCAGAAGAUGCGGGACCGCAGCGAAAGCGAGUCUGAAUAGGGCGGCAUGAGUACGGUGGUCGUAGACCCCGAAAACCAGGUGAUCACCAUGUCCAGGUGAAGUCAGGUAACACUGAAUGGAGGCCCGAACCCACGCACGUUGAAAAGUGCGGGGAUGAGGUGUGGUAGGGUGAAAUGCCAAUCGACCUGGAGAUAGCUGGUCUCUCCGAAAUAGCUUUAGGGCUAGCCCUCAAGGUAAGAGUCUCGGAGGUAGAGCAACUGAUUGGACUAGGGGCCCCUACCGGGUUACCGAAUUCAGUCAAACUCCGAAUGCCGAUGACUUAUCCUUGGGAGUCAGACUGCGAGUGAUAAGAUCCGUAGUCGAAAGGGAAACAGCCCAGACCGCCAGCUAAGGUCCCAAAGUAUACGUUAAGUGGAAAAGGAUGUGGAGUUGCUUAGACAACCAGGAUGUUGGCUUAGAAGCAGCCACCAUUUAAAGAGUGCGUAAUAGCUCACUGGUCGAGUGACUCUGCGCCGAAAAUGUACCGGGGCUAAACGUAUCACCGAAGCUGCGGACUGUUCUACGAAACAGUGGUAGGAGAGCGUUCUUAAGUGCUGUGAAGUCAGACCGGAAGACUGGUGGAGCGCUUAGAAGUGAGAAUGCCGGUAUGAGUAGCGAAAGACGGGUGAGAAUCCCGUCCACCGAAUGCCAAGUUCCUGAGGAAGGCUUCGUCCGCUCAGGGUUAGUCGGGACCUAAGCCGAGGCCGAAAGGCGUAGGCGAUGGACAACAGGUUGAUAUUCCUGUACCACCUCCUCACCAUUUGAGCAAUGGGGGGACGCAGGAGGAUAGGGUAAGCGCGGUAUUGGAUAUCCGCGUCCAAGCAGUUAGGCUGGGAAAUAGGCAAAUCCGUUUCCCGUAAAGGCUGAGCUGUGAUGGCGAGCGAAAUUUAGUAGCGAAGUUCUUGAUUCCACACUGCCAAAAGCCUCUAGCGAGGUGAGAGGUGCCCGUACCGGCAAACCGACACAGGUAGGCGAGGAGAGAAUCCUAAGGUGAUCGAGAGAAACUCUCGUUAAAGGAAACUCGGCAAAAUGACCCGUAACUUCGGGAGAAGGGUGCUUCUUAGGGUGUUAAAGCCCCGAAGAGCCGCGUGAAAUAGGCCCAGGCGACUGUUUAGCAAAAACACAGGUCUCUGCGAAGCCGUAAGGCGAAGUAUAGGGGCUGACGCCUGCCCGGUGCUGGAAGGUUAAGAGGAGCGCUUAGCGUAAGCGAAGGUGCGAAUUGAAGCCCCAGUAAACGGCGGCCGUAAACUAUAACGUCCUAAAGGUAGCGAAAUUCCUUGUCGGGUAAGUUUCCGACCCGCCACGAAAGGCGCAACGAUCUGGGCACUGUCUCAACGAGAGACUCGUGAAAUUAUAGUACCUGUGAAGAUGCAGGUUACCCGCGACAGGACGGAAAGACCCCGUGGAGCUUUACUGCAGCCUGAUAUUGAAUGUUGGUACAGCUUGUACAGGAUAGGUAGGAGCCUUGGAAACCGGAGCGCUAGCUUCGGUGGAGGCAUCGGUGGGAUACUACCCUGGCUGUAUUGACCUUCUAACCCGCUGCCCUUAUCGGGCAGGGAGACAGUGUCAGGUGGGCAGUUUGACUGGGGCGGUCGCCUCCUAAAAUGUAACGGAGGCGCCCAAAGGUUCCCUCAGAAUGGUUGGAAAUCAUUCGCAGAGUGUAAAGGCACAAGGGAGCUUGACUGCGAGACCUACAAGUCGAGCAGGGACGAAAGUCGGGCUUAGUGAUCCGGUGGUUCCGCAUGGAAGGGCCAUCGCUCAAACGGAUAAAAGCUACCCGGGAUAACAGGCUUAUCUCCCCCAAGAGUCCACAUCGACGGGGAGGUUUGGCACCUCGAUGUCGGCUCAUCGCAUCCUGGGGCUGUAAGUCGUCCAAGGGUUGGGCUGUUCGCCAUUAAAGCGGGUAACGCGAGCUGGGUUCAAGAACGUCGUGAGACAGUUUCGGUCCCCUAUCCCGUCGCGGCGCAGAAAUUUGAGAGGAGCUGUCCUUAGUACGAGAGGACCGGGAUGGACGCACCGCUGUGUUACCCAGUGUUCUGCCAAGGGCAUCGCUGGGUAGCUAUGUGCGGACCGGAAUAGUGCUGAAAGCAUCUAGCAUGAAGCCCCCUCAAGAUGAAGAUUUCCCAUCCGCAAGGAAGUAAGAUCCCUGAAAGAUGAUCAGGUUGAUAGGUCUGAGGUGGAAGCGUGGUGACACGUGGAGCUGACAGAUACUAAUAGAUCGAGGACUUAACCUA
This 2904-nucleotide ribosomal RNA is filed under the name Bacillus pumilus. RNAcentral describes it as "23S ribosomal RNA". It matches the Rfam family "Bacterial large subunit ribosomal RNA". The record is from RNAcentral. Lineage: Bacteria; Bacillati; Bacillota; Bacilli; Caryophanales; Bacillaceae.